This 876-nucleotide small RNA is filed under the name Pan troglodytes (chimpanzee). Its description in RNAcentral is "retained intron". Lineage: Eukaryota; Metazoa; Chordata; Mammalia; Primates; Hominidae. The record is from RNAcentral.
UUCAAAACACACUGAUACAUAGUUCUAUAAUAAAUCAUACCUUUAACAUGUUUUCUUAUACAGAAUACAGCAAUAACCUCCAAGAGGACAUUUAUUCAGAGACCUCGGGACACUUCAGAGAUACUCUCAUGAACUUGGUCCAGGGGACCAGAGAGGAAGGAUAUACAGACCCUGUGAUAGCUGCUCAGGAUGCAAUGGUCCUAUGGGAAGCCUGUCAGCAGAAGACGGGGGAGCACAAAACCAUGCUGCAAAUGAUCCUGUGCAACAAGAGCUACCAGCAGCUGUGGCUGGUUUUCCAGGAAUUUCAAAAUAUUUCUGGGCAAGAUAUGGUAGAUGCCAUUAAUGAAUGUUAUGAUGGAUACUUUCAGGAGCUGCUGGUUGCAAUUGUUCUCUGUGUUCGAGACAAACCAGCCUAUUUUGCUUAUAGAUUAUAUAGUGCAAUUCAUGACUUUGGUUUCCAUAAUAAAACUGUAAUCAGGAUUCUCAUUGCCAGAAGUGAAAUAGACCUGCUGACCAUAAGGAAACGAUACAAAGAGCGAUAUGGAAAAUCCCUAUUUCAUGAUAUCAGAAAUUUUGCUUCAGGGCAUUAUAAGAAAGCACUGCUUGCCAUCUGUGCUGGUGAUGCUGAGGACUACUAAAAUGAAGAGGACUUGGAGUACUGUGCACUCCUCUUUCUAGACACUUCCAAAUAGAGAUGUUCUCACAAAUUUGUACUGUUCAUGGCACUAUUAACAAAACUAUACAAUCAUAUUUUCUCUUCUAUCUUUGAAAUUAUUCUAAGCCAAAUAAAACUAUGAAUGAAAGUAUAUGAUACUGAAUUUGCCUACUAUCUAAUCAGCAAUUAAAUAAAUUGUGCACGAUGGAAUAAUAGAAAAA